RNAcentral lists this small nuclear RNA (18 nucleotides) under Arabidopsis thaliana (thale cress). RNAcentral describes it as "snRNA_04376". The record is from RNAcentral. Lineage: Eukaryota; Viridiplantae; Streptophyta; Magnoliopsida; Brassicales; Brassicaceae.
GGCAUCAGCGUGCUCCGG